UUUUUCUUUUUUUCUUUUCAGGGCUGCACCUGCGGCAUAUGGAAGUUCCCAGGGUAGGGGUCAAAUCGGAGCUGCAGCUGCUGGUCUACACCACAGCUGCAGCAAUACGGGAUCUGACCCUGUCUUCGACUGACACCAAAGCUCAAGGCAACACCAGAUCCUUAACCCACUGGCAAGGCCAGGGAUCGAACCUGUGUCCUCACAGCAGAUCUUCAUGGGGGUGGGAUGGGGGGACCUGAGGCUUCCGGCUCUGGGACUUCCACGGGCUGCCUGCCGACACAGCCCAGGAGGUUUCUAUGUGGCAACUGCCCUUGACCCCCUGUGGCUUCCUCCUCCUAGUGGGAUGUCUGCCCCUGUGCCUUUAACUUACAACCCCUGGAGUGUCCAUCAGCCAGGCCCCAAGCACCACGUGUUCCAGAUUCUUCAGAUCCCGCCAACAGCAAGAGCAGGCUGGGCCCGUGAAUAUUCCAUCCUCCCCCAUUCUAUGCCUCCCAAGGCAGGGCAAGUUCUUAGAGAUGGGGUCUCCUAUGUCCUGUGUACUCCUGUCUCUCCACCCCCUGGAAUAAUGCUGGCACCUGGUAGGGACCCAGAAAAUAUUUACGGACUGAGUGACGGAUGGGUCAUUAAAUCUCAAAAGGAAAGAGCAGAAACCAUCUUGCCUGGACGUGAAGGAACAGGCCUGCAGGCCUCUCCUCGGGAAGGAGGCAGCAGCCAUCACGUGUGUCCAACGUGAGGCCACCUAACACACAUUCAUGGGCCACCCCGUCUACACAAGUUCUCCUUCCUUAGAAUUCCUGCAAACACUGCACAGACGGGUCAUUGUGCAGGGCCCUCGGCUGAGUUCUAUUCAAAAGCAUUUACUGGGCCAUCUUGGGCACCUGGUCCUGUGCCCAGUAUCGGGGGUUCAGGGGUGAGCAAAGCCUGCCUCCUGCCCUCAAGAAGCUCCCCUUCAGUUGGGGGAGAUAGACAGGCAAGCGGAUCAUUCCGCUAGGUGGGCCCAGGGUGCUAGGACAGUGAGCAGAGUGGGGGCCCCCGUCCAGCUGGAGGAGAUGGGGACCAUUCCCCAAGCCACCAGGCAGCCAAGGAGACAGGCAGAGAAUCCCUCCUCAGAGCCUGGACCCUGUCAAACUCGGGGCUACACCCCUCAUGAGCCUGCUACUACCUGAAAGGAAACUUGGUCCUUGCCACUUACCUGAGGCAGGUAGGAGGAAGGGACGGGAGCCCCAGGCCAGGAGAGCAUCAUGGGAAAAGGCCGGGAGCUGUGCGCUGCAGGAUGUCCCGGGGCCAUCGGCACAGAUCACUUAUAUUAAUGGGUGAAAACCUGACCACGAUUAAGACGGGAGAGGAACCAGAAAUCAGUGACAGGAGCCAGGCCCUGGAAGGCUUCGUCCACUGUUCCCAUGAAUGCCAGUGGCCCUCAGCCUGGGCUCUAGGGAAGCCUGGCAUCCCUGGGGCUGGGCUACGGUUGCUGCGAAUGUUUGGUUCAAAUUUCUUUCAGAAUGUUUUUCGGAGAAAGGGGUAGCAGGUGCGGUUGGUAUCCUGCCCACACCUCCCAGCCCUCCCGUGUCAGGGCCCACCUGCACGCACUGCAGCGCCAGCUCCUGCCUGGCUUUGGCUGAGAGCUUUCUCUGACCACCAGGGUCCACUGGGCCGGGCCACACCCCGCGGCGCUCAAACACUGCAGCUGGUUCUAAGACACCAGCCUCAUUUCCUCUCGGGAGAGAUAACACUGAGCCACGCAGCCCGUGCUGGCCCCAGGGCUCCCCAGCGGAAUCAAGCUCUGUUUGUCCUGGUGGAAUUUACGUGAUGAUUGUGCCUAUUGGCGCCGUCCCUGCCCAGUCUCAUGCUCCCAGGACCCGCAGCUGUUUCCUGGGAGCGUGUCCCAGAUAAAGAGCCACAAGUAAAUCCUUGCGUCAAGGUCUGUUACUGGGGUGGUCCCAACCAAGACACACUCACACACACGCACACACAGAAUAUGUCUGGUAGGACUUGAAGAAGAUGGUAGGAAAAAUGCUGGGGAGAAAAACACUGGUUGAGGAUGAGGUGGGGGGAGACUCAUUUAUCACUAAAUAUUCUCUUUACCUUUUGGCCUCUGUCCACAGAUUUUUUUCUAUUAAAAAAGAAAGUAUGUAUUUUAAAACUCCCCAAAAUACGUGCUUUAAACCACGACAAUAGCGACUGUAAGUUUAUAUCAGCACAGUCGCAUGUGCUUUAUAGCCAAUGCUUUCCACUAGGACACCUUCCUUAGUUCCUGCCACUGGGCAUGCGCUCUUUGAUGGAGUCACAGUUGCUCUUUUCUGCUGAUCUGGCCCAUGAUUUUGAAUAUUUAAUUAAAGGUGUCACUGACUCGGAAGACUGUCGCUCUGCACGGAUGAUUUAUCAGAAUCCGGAUCUGCUCAGGUUCUGUGGCAUCGAUUUGUACGGAUGCACGACCGCAGUGCACUGAGGAGCCAAGUGCCAGGGUGACAGAACCUAGGUGAUCACGUGCAUAGCUAACGGUGAGCUGCGCAGUCAGUAACACUGCCUGAGCCCCUGUCCUCAGCUGGGAUGACUUCUGAUGUGACAGUUACAUUUCACACGAGCAAUGAAAGCAGUUAGACAGGGCUCGUGAUUCAACAUUCAACUCAAAAUUUCCUUCUACUUUGCAUUCAAGAUCUUGGAUGUGUGUCAUUAAAGGCACCCUGAGAUGGCAAAGCAAGCUGCAUAAAAAUAAAACGUAAAGAUGUGGCUCCCUUACUUAUAUCUUGAACCAGACUUUCUCAACAUUGGGCAGUAGAAACAAAUACGGGGUCAAUUGGACGCUGAAGCUGAGCUCAAACUGCAAGUGCCUCCAAGACCACGGAGGUCAAAGCUUUCGCUUUGGAAAACAGCCUCCUUAUUCUGAGGGGCUGGCUUUGCAACAAGCAAAUGUUAUACAAGCAUGCCGGUAAAUUACACACCUACCUACCAAUAAUAACUUUCCACCCGUUCUACUGCUGUUCAAUGCAAUAUUUUAUUUGGAAAAUGAGUUACAUUUCCAAAUGUUUGGACCUCUGCUAUGAAUGAAGGUGGCCUGUGCCGGCUUCUGCAUAGACCAGGGCUGUGCUCGAUGUGUGUGUGCAUGUUAGGCAGGCCACCCUGAGAGCCAUGUGGGGAGGGGGCUGCAGGGAGGGAGCCCACAGCCCUCUGCAUCCUGGAAAACCAACUGCAAGGGAGCUGCAAGUCAGCCUGGAGAUUUGGCAUUGAAAGCUGAACCGAGGGUGGUUCUUGUCUUUGGUGUGGAUCCAAGUCCAGGGCAAACGUGGUGAAUGAGAAGAGAGAGUCAAGUGCUGGGCCUAAGAAGCGAUGCCCCAUGGCACCGUCAACUCCGCCCCACAGGCAGGAGCACUGACCUCACAGCUAGACCCCCAAACACCUCCAGGGUUCAGACCGUGGAUUCAACCCCCUUGGACUCCCCCUGGGCCUAAAAUAAAACUGCUUAGAGAGCAGCUGCAGCAUAAAUGCUUCUUGGUUGCCCUAUUCCAAAAGGCAAAUAAUUGUGUUACAACAAGAGUCCCAUUUAGACAAAUCUAUCAAAAGUUCUGUAUCAUAUCCAAACUUGCUUAAAUGUCUCCAUCUGGGCAGAGUAGCAACUGGCACUUCGAAACAAAAUUACUAUGACUUUUUUUAAUUGGGAGCAGUCUACAUGCAGUGGCUACUUUUAAAUGACGUCUUUUUUUAACAAAUGAAAGAGAGAAAGAAGGGAAGGAGGAAGGGAAGGAGGGAGAGGAGGCGCAGUUUGUAUUUUUGGGUUUUUUUGGUCUUUUUAGGGCCACACUGGUGGCAUAUGGAGGUUCCCAGGCUAGGAGUCGAUUCAGAGCUGCAGCUGCCAGCCUACCCCACAGCCACAGCAACACGGGAUCCGAGCUGCUUCUGCAGCCUACACCACAGCUCAUGGCAACGCCGGAUCCUUAACCCACUGAGCGAGGCCAGGGAUCGAACCCACAACCUCAUGGAUCCUAGUCGGAUUUGGUUCCGCUGCGCCACAGUGGGCCCUCCCACAGUUUGGAUUUAAUCAGGCCCUGAAAAGCCACAUCACGUCGAAGAACAUAUGGCUGCUCCCCGUGUCGUGCCUUCCUUCGGCACCGCUCACAGCCAGUAACUGGACUCUGAAUCACUGCUCUCCUCCCUCCCUGCCAGCUCCACUCCCGGCCCGAUCCCUUCCUGGUUCCGAAGCAGAGCCUGGGCCUCCCAGGUGGGGCUUACCGGCAGCUCUGGAGGGUCCCAGGGCUCACCUUCCAGACCCGGCCCCUUGCAGCCUCCUUUCACCGGCGAGUGAGUGUUUGCCCACCUGGUUUCUUUCCCUGACUGGGGACAGAACCGCAAAAUCAGAGAAAGGUCCUCUGCAGAGAAGGGAUUCCUGUCCCUCCCCUCCUCCGGGGGACCUUCCUAUCCACCCACAUUGUCCAUGUCGUCCCUGCUGGCGGACUCUGACCCACGUGGCCAGGCUGCGACUCUCUGUGGUCCUCUCUCGGUCCCCAUUCUAUCUGUGCCAACACUGGUUGAGAUGGAUGUCACAGAAGUUCGGAUGGAAAGGAGUCACAGAAGGGGGGGCUGCCCCCGCUGAGCAGACCCCUGGGGCCAUCCCAGUGUCCCAGGCACAGGCCCCAGUCCACUGCUCCAGGUCCCCCUGGAGGGUAAGCAGCCUAAUUACCCUCGACUGCAUUUCCAAAACCCUGUGCUCAACGGCAGAUCUGUAACUUCGUGUUUCUUCUUAAGGGAGGCAUCCCCCUACUAUGAAGACUUCAAGGCCCCCAAGCCGGAGCUGCCCUCGCCACCAGCUAAUUGUGAGCCAGUUUUCUGCAAUCCACCUGCAGGAUUGCUCUCCACGCCCGGCGGCCUGCUCAUCUCCCAAAUUGCUCCUUCCCCACUGGCCGGGCUCCAGCGGCCCCGCCUUACCCCUGAGCACACCAGGCGGGGCCAGGGCAUCAGGGCCUCUGCAGUGGAGGCUGCCCUCCAGGUGCUCGCCUCCCUGGGGUCACAUCAGGCGGGACUUUCUCCGUGGGCCUCCCCAGCUUCCUGAUUAAGGGGAGCCCUCUGUCCCCUCCUUCUGCCCUCUGCCCCACCGCCCCGUCCCCUGCUGACUUCUGCAUCAUUUGUCAUCUGCCAGCACACUUCGUGACCUGAUUCUUUAUGUUUUCUUUUCUGUUCCUGCUACUCUCCCCAACCAGAAUGGAAGGUCCAUGAAGAAAAGGAAACAAAAUCAGUUUUGUUGGAGUUCCCGUUGUGGCUCAGUGGUUAACGAAUCUGACGAGAACCCAUGAGGUUGCGGGUUCAAUCCCUGGCUUCGCUCAGAGGGUUAAGGAUCCAGCGUUGCCGUGAGCUGUGGUGUAGGUCGCAGACGCGGCUCAGAUCUGGGGUUGCUGUGGAUGUGGAGUAGGCCGGUGGCUCCAGCUCCGAUUGGACCCCUAGCCUGGAAACCUCCAUGGCUGUGGGUGCAGCCCUAGAAAAGACAAAAAAAAAAAAAAAAAAAAUCGGUUUUGUUGAGUAGUGAGUUCCUGGCGCCCAGCACAUAGUUCACAAGAGUCACUUGGUUAAUGUUUCGUAAAGGCACAAGGUGGCAGGACCUGAGACAGGGACAGCCCAACCUCCCCGCCCGCCUGGUGCAGCUGGGGGACAGCGCUGGUCCAAUGGAGAAAGGAAAGUUGCUUCUCAGAGGUGACUUGGCUCCACAGGUCCCAGUACAUCCGGUCCCUGCCCAUCUGCCUCAGGAGGUGUCAUCGGGCCCCAGACAGAGCCACCACCUAUGAAGUCCCCAGAAAUGCUGAGGCUGGGAUAGGGGAGGGGCUGGGGCCCGUGGGACUUCCAUGAGUGCGUCCAGUCCCACAGCAGGGCAGCCAAUUUCCAAAAGAGCAAAGUACACAGAUGUUGACUCAGAGCCGGCGCUAACUUCCUGCCUUUGCACAUCUGGCCAAUCCUGGCUGGCCCGACGGGGGGGCGGAAGGGGUGCAGCGGUGGAGCUCCGGGGGGAUGGGAGCCUUGUGACUUUAACCCCCACGGGGACACGGCUCUGAGUGGUACUGGAUCCUGGCGCCAGGAAGAGGGCGUGUGUCUCUGAGGAACAGGGCGCGGAUGACACCAAGAUGUCCAUGGGCCCCUCCCUGGAGCGUGAUCCCCACUCAGCUAGUCGGGACCCCCUCCCCCGCAGCCAAUGCUGAUGACAUCAUGACAAUCCGAGCUUUCUAUAGUAGUUUAGGGUAGCCAAAGCUCUUUGUCACAGCCUCUUUCAUGUCGCGGCCAACCAAACCUGGAAGAAAGACCAGGAAUCGUCAUCCCGUUUUCCACAGGGAGCGCUUGAGGGCUGUGGGGGUCACGAGCCAGCACACGUCAAGGCGGGACAGGCUGCACCCUGUCCUGUGUCCUCAGAGACAGGACCGUGACACCCAGGGUUUAAUGCUUAGGGCAACUAUUUCCCUGAACCGCCAAGCUGCCUGAGUGCAGACACUUAUCCGAGCACUGCGGGAGGGGCGAGUCACUUCUCGGGCUGAAGAGGGACACCGCCUCUCAGCGCCCACCGCACACCUGCUGGCCAUUCUCUAAUCUCUCUCAGACUGUGCUGAUUACCACAAAAGGACAAAAACAAAACCACUUGUUUCUUUUUGAAAAAUGGUCAUCAAUAGGGAGUCAGUAAAAAUCUAAGAGGCAGUCACAGAGGGAGCCUGGCAAUCGGGAGGAGGGUGGCUGUGAUGGCAGGAGCAUUGGCAGCUGUUCUCUGCCAUACCUGCCAGUGGUCAGACUCUGUGCUACGUACUUGACAUGUGUAUCUCAUUUACGCUUCCCAGUGGCUCCAUGACUUGGUAAUAUUGCUGUCCCAUUUAACAGAUAGGGAAACUGAGGCCUAGAGGUGAAUUCCUUACUUAAAGUCUUACAGCUGGGAAGUGGUAGAGCCCAGACUUAAUUUCGAGCCUAUGGCAAAGCCCAUGCUCUGAAAGCCUACAUUGCACACCUUAUGUGGCCUCUCCGUGCAAGUGCCUUCCCGUAGCCCGCGUGGGCUCCCAUACUUCUGAAGUCACCAGCAGGCGAGAGCAGUGCCAGACUAUAUCCUGUCCCUUUUCCCAAUUCAUUCUCCGUCUGUCUCUCUGCCUCACUCUCUGUCUGUCUGUCUCUCUGUUCCGCCCUCUCCCCAUACUUCCUCCUUAUCUCAGGGCCUUCCUCUCUCCUCUUUCUUGAGCUGAGCAGGAAAAUCAAAAUUCUUCUCUCCAGACCCUGCAGAAACAAUCCAUUCAUUUAACAAAUGGUUUGGGGUAAAUGUUCUGUGCCAGGCCCUGUUCUAGACCCUGGGCACACGGCAGCAAACAAAACUGACGUGAAUCCCUGACUUGAUGACUCAGUCGUGCUUGUGGAGAGAUGGACAGAAAACAAACCUGGGAGGUCAAGCCAGAGGCAGGCAGGGCUGAGCGGGAACGGAGGCAAAAGCAGAGGUGAGACAGGGUGGGGCCAGGCGAGGCCUCGAAGAGGAAAAGCCUUUUGGGCAGAGACCUGAGAGCAGGAAGGAGGAAGUCGUGUGACAAAGGACAGCCUCAGUGUGAUGGGAAUGAGCUCAGCAUUGUCACCAGACUUCGCAAAGGAUGAGGAAGGAGGCCGGGAAGAAGAGAAGGAAGGAAACAGAAAAGAAGGAAAGAAAAAAUUGGACACCAUUAAAUUUAAAUUUCCGAUAAACAAAAAACAAUUGGAUGGGGGACAUGCUUAUACGAAAACGAUAGUUGCUAUUUACCUGAAACGUCACUGUGCCUGGGAAUCCCAAGCUUUAUGGGGCAGCCCUCGCCCUGGAGACGGGGCAGCGGGUCAGGGUGAAGGGAGGGAAGGGGGGGACACGGGCACCAGGAGCGGGGCUGACACAUCCUGCCCAGAGAAGCCAUCUAGAUACCCCGCCAGAUUUUCCAGGGCAGUUGUCUCCCCACUGUCUAUGAGAAACGUGUGCUAAGCGCUCCGAAAGAGCAGGUGGGAGAGAGGACGUCGCGGGGGUCCAUCUAGUGUGGUGCAGGGAGGCGUCCGUGUCUGCGGCACCUCUGCUCCCAAGAGGGUGCAGCCCAGGAGACCCCCGGCAUCAGCGGCUGCAUCCAAACAGGCUCUACUGAGGGGGCGCCAUGGGCUGAGAAUCGGAGGCCCACAGAUGAAGCUGUAGAAGGGGCUGGGCCUCCUCUCUGGCUCAGGAUGGGGCCCAGAGGGGAGUCAAAGGUCAGCAAGGUCCCCCUGGGUAGCCGGGGGUCAAGCAUUUGCCACUGGCGGGAGUGGUUGAUGUGCAUAUCUGAGCUGAGAGGGAGCUUCUGGGACACAUCUGAGCCAUGAAGAUGGCUACGCCUACAGCGUAUGGACGUUCCCAGGCUAGGGGUUGAAUCGGAGCUGCAGUCGCUGGCCUACACCACAGCCACAGCAAUGCCGGAUCCAAGCCUCGUCUGUGACCUACACCACAGCUCUCAGCAAGGCCAGAUCCUUAACCCACUGAGCAAGGCCAGGGAUCAAACCUGUGUCCUCAUGGAUACUAGUAGGGUUCUUAACCCGCUGAGCCACAGUGGGAACUCCUCCCGAGCCAUAAAUAUUAAGGUUGAAAAUAGUGAGAUCAGUCAGACAAUGAGACACCAACAUCAAAUGCUCUCUAUCACCGACAUGUAGAGUCUGAAGAAAGGACACAAUGAACCUCUUUGCAGAACAGAUACUGACUCACAGACUUCGAAAAACUUAUGGCUUCCAAAGGACACAGUUCGGGGGUCGGGGGGGGUACACUGGGGGUGUGGGAUGGAAAUCCUAUAAAAUUGGAUUGUGAGGAUCUUUGUACAACUAUGAAUGCAAUAAAUUCAUUGAGUAAUUAAAAAAAGAAGAAAAAGAAAAAAGAAAAAGAAGACACCUGAGGUUAAAAUGUAAACGACCAAGGGGCUUCCUUCGUCCUGGCUGAGCUGGGGGUAGGGAGAGAAGCCAGGAGAUCAAAGCAGACAUUUCAGCAAAAUUCCCUAUACCAGCAAGUAUCCACUUCACAGUCACCUCGAGAAUUAAAUGGGGCAACGCCUGUAACCGAUGACAUUAAACAGCCAAUGUCCCUUCUCCUUUCUAACUGAAGGCGUUAGCUCCCGUGCCAAGGUCUGGGACCUGCGUGGGCCUUGAGGGCCAAAAUCAAACCUCAUGAACCUGUCGUGUUGGUUGCUGGGCGACCCUGAGGCUCAGCGCAUCUGGAUCGAAUCCCUUUCCUGGAAACAGUGACCUCAUGAGGUUAAAGGGCAGGGCCCAGGGCAGCUGCCCAGCUGCGUUGCUCAAUGAACAGCAUGGAAAUACACAGCCUCCUUCCUAGGGUUCCCCUGUCGUUGGAUUUCUUACAUUCAU
RNAcentral lists this long non-coding RNA (9333 nucleotides) under Sus scrofa (pig). RNAcentral describes it as "lncRNA (ENSSSCG00040043440.1)". The record is from RNAcentral. Lineage: Eukaryota; Metazoa; Chordata; Mammalia; Artiodactyla; Suidae.